Molecule: ribosomal RNA, 200 nt
Filed under: uncultured bacterium
Lineage: Bacteria
Description: partial 16S ribosomal RNA
Rfam family: Bacterial small subunit ribosomal RNA
Source: RNAcentral
AUUGAACGCUGGCGGCAGGCCUAACACAUGCAAGUCGAGCGGUAGAGAGGUGCUUGCACCUCUUGAGAGCGGCGGACGGGUGAGUAAUGUCUGGGAAACUGCCUGAUGGAGGGGGAUAACUACUGGAAACGGUAGCUAAUACCGCAUAACGUCGCAAGACCAAAGAGGGGGACCUUCGGGCCUCUUGCCAUCAGAUGUGC